GCAAGUAUAGCUCAAGUGGCAGAGCACUUGCUUAGCAUGCAUGAAGUCCUGAGUUCAAUCCCCAGUAUCUCCU
Molecule: transfer RNA, 73 nt
Filed under: Camelus bactrianus (Bactrian camel)
Lineage: Eukaryota; Metazoa; Chordata; Mammalia; Artiodactyla; Camelidae
Also listed under: 2 other names
Rfam family: tRNA
About the family: Transfer RNA (tRNA) molecules are approximately 80 nucleotides in length.
Source: Rfam by way of RNAcentral